UACAGAGGUCCCGAGCGUUGUUCGGAUUCACUGGGCGUAAAGGGCGCGUAGGCGGCGGGGUAAGUCGGGUGUGAAAUCUCAGGGCUCAACCCUGAAACUGCACUUGAUACUGCUCUGCUUGAGGACUGGAGAGGAGACUGGAAUUCACGGUGUAGCAGUGAAAUGCGUAGAUAUCGUAAGGAAGGCCGGUGGCGAAAGCGAGCCUCUGGACAGUUACUGACGCUGAUGCACGAAGGCCAGGGGAGCAAACGGG
Molecule: ribosomal RNA, 253 nt
Filed under: uncultured bacterium
Lineage: Bacteria
Description: partial 16S ribosomal RNA
Rfam family: Bacterial small subunit ribosomal RNA
Source: RNAcentral